AGGCCAGCAUAUUGGUGAUGCUGCAUAGGCACCUGGGGCUCCAAGACAUCCAUAGGUGCUACAAUGUAAGUUUAAGAGAGACCCUCUCCUCUGGGACUAUCCUUAGCAAGGUGAUUCUGGCUUUGCCUUGCAUCUCUGUUAAUGAUUACAGAUUUCUUGAUGAGAGGAUGAACUACUAAGAUGUUACAGGUGCUUCCUGCCCACCCAUCUGCCCCAGGUGCUGUAAUCAUAAAAGAGGUCAGUGGUUUGUCUGGCCAGUGUGUUUUUGUCUCCUGAUCGAACGCCAAAUAGCUCAAAAGGAGUCCAUCCUCCUGUCUCGGAGGAGGAAGCAAUCUUUACCCCAGCUGAUGGUAUCUCUUCUCCUUGCUGUCUUGAAACAUCAGGAGGUGCAUCUCUUACAGAGAUGACUGCAAAGAGAAGAAGUUGGGUGAGGUAUUUCUACAGAAAUAGCAAAAAAUAAAAUCCUGACUCAGCCCUGGGACCUCUCUAGCUCGGUUUUGCAUCCAUGGCUUGCAGCUUCAAAGGAAAAAUGAAACCUCCAGCACAGCCAGCCUUGUAUUAGGACUCGGUGGAGGAGAGGGGAGCAUCCCAAUGUGGCAGAGAGACUGGUGUAAACUAGGCUGAAGGUAAAGCAAGCAAGCAUUCCCCUUCCACCAAGAGCUGGUUGUCCCAGGAGGGAAAGAUGCAGCUGUAAUGGGGUGCGCUCUCACUUCUAUUUCUCCUCUCUGUUCACACAAUGUUUAGUCUUUCCUGGGCACUCCUAAACUUUCUUAAUUAGUCUUAAUGUCUUCCACCCAUGGGUGUCUCUUUUAAACUGCUGUGCUCUUGUCUCAGUUGCAUCCAGGGAAAUAAGGCCUUUCCCUGCACCCAGCCGCCUGCAAGUGCUUAAAGGCUAAUUCUUGGGUGCAUAACUGGAGAAUAACCACAAAUGGUGACCCCACGCUGUGGUGUUCGCUGCUUUGCACCUUAUGGAUUGAUACCUCAAUGCAAGAGGAAGAAAUCAAACAGGCCUGAAAUAUUUUCUUCGGGGGGAUUGACCUGAAUUUUGGCUUCCCGUUGUGUUUAGGGCAGUCUGAGCCUUCCAACAUCAAGCAGAAAAGCAAAGCAGUUUGGGGCUAGGUUGUUUGGCAUGGAAAAAAA
Anas platyrhynchos (mallard) is the source of this 1140-nucleotide long non-coding RNA. RefSeq lists it as uncharacterized. NCBI's taxonomy places the organism in Eukaryota, Metazoa, Chordata, Aves, Anseriformes, Anatidae. The record is from RefSeq and is a predicted model, not a curated record.